RNAcentral lists this small RNA (103 nucleotides) under Flavobacterium micromati. RNAcentral describes it as "Flavo-1 RNA". It matches the Rfam family "Flavo-1 RNA". The record is from Rfam by way of RNAcentral. Lineage: Bacteria; Pseudomonadati; Bacteroidota; Flavobacteriia; Flavobacteriales; Flavobacteriaceae.
CCUUAGCCCAGAUAGCAGCGGCAUCCUUUUUUAUCCUGAACAUUUUUCAGGAUUCUGAAAAAUGUUCGGGAUAAAAAAGAUAUAGCGGAUAGCUGGAUCGAGC